GAAAUGCGAUAAGUAGUGUGAAUUGCAGAAUUCAGUGAAUCAUCGAAUCUUUGAACGCACAUUGCGCCCCUCGGUAUUCCGUGGGGCAUGCCUGUUCGAGCGUCAUCUACACCCUCAAGCUCUGCUUGGUGUUGGGCGUCUGUCCCGCCUCCUUCGCGCGCGGACUCGCCCCAAAUCCAUUGGCGGCGGCCCUUGCCUCCCUCUCGCGCAGCACAUUGCGCUUCUCGAGGCGCGGCGGACCGCGUCCAGCAAGCAACCGUCACACCGUCUUUAACCUCGGAUCAGGUAGGGAUACCCGCUGAACUUAAGC
RNAcentral lists this unclassified non-coding RNA (310 nucleotides) under plant metagenome. RNAcentral describes it as "partial contains 5.8S ribosomal RNA, internal transcribed spacer 2, and large subunit ribosomal RNA". The stretch from base 1 to 105 matches the Rfam family "5.8S ribosomal RNA", at positions 50 to 154 of the family's 154-position model. The record is from RNAcentral.